Molecule: long non-coding RNA, 270 nt
Filed under: Numida meleagris (helmeted guineafowl)
Lineage: Eukaryota; Metazoa; Chordata; Aves; Galliformes; Numididae
Description: lncRNA (ENSNMEG00000005931.1)
Source: RNAcentral
UUAAGAGAGCAACAAACAACGAACAAAACCUGCUGACAUGUGGUUAAUGGCAUCUCAAUGAAAAGGAAGACAGAGCACAUUAGGAGAAGGUCUGAAAUUAUGCUGCCUGUACAGAAACUCAUAUUUCAGCCCACGUGGGAAACGUUUGGACAAAUGGACUUUCCGAAAGAAAAGAAAACAUUUUAAGAGCCACAAGUAUUUCGCCUCAGGUGAGACACAGGAACGAUGCUUCUGUCACAGCUCAAUAGCAUGCACAGACCACUACCUGUU